AACUAAGGUGAGUAAAACCCGUGUAACAAGUUGGCGUAGAUCUGUUCCUGUUUACUUUCGAGACUGAUAUCAAUAUGAAGUACGCAUUCUCUCUCUGUCUGUUCGUGAUUCUGGCACUUGGUGUCUACCAAACUGCUUGUCAGCCUAAUCCUUACCCGUCUCCCGCUCCAAGUGCCAGCAUGCAAGCAGAAACAAACCAAGAUAUCGACGAGGCAGCCAUCCCCCCAUCGGAUAAAGACUGCCUGUACCAUCCAAUCAAUUGUUGGGAUAAGUAGUGCUGCUGGAGUUCGUGACGUCAUCAAUAACGCUGAUGUGAAGGUCAUGAGAACAUCAAAGGACGAUUAUCAUCCUUAUUAUUUCUGACGUAAAAAAAAGAAAUGGGGAAAGAAUUUCAAUAAAAUGUAUAACACAUCAA
Long non-coding RNA from Lytechinus pictus (painted urchin), 415 nucleotides. RefSeq lists it as uncharacterized. NCBI's taxonomy places the organism in Eukaryota, Metazoa, Echinodermata, Echinoidea, Temnopleuroida, Toxopneustidae. The record is from RefSeq and is a predicted model, not a curated record. The transcript is spliced from 4 exons.